This 576-nucleotide small RNA is filed under the name Pan troglodytes (chimpanzee). RNAcentral describes it as "retained intron". Lineage: Eukaryota; Metazoa; Chordata; Mammalia; Primates; Hominidae. The record is from RNAcentral.
CAAAGGAUGCAAGGUGUUGUAAACCGACUGUCCAAGUUACUGAAACCUGGGGGAAUGCUGUUAUUUCGAGACUAUGGAAGAUAUGAUAAGACUCAGCUUCGUUUUAAAAAGGGUAAUAGUAUAUUCAGUUUGAGGUUAUUUUUAAAUGUUCUAAAGAAUGCCUUGUUUAUAUUUCACAUCAGAGUAUUUAGUUGUUUUUUUUUUUAAGGAAUACCCUUAAAAGUUUCUCUUUUCACAAUUUUUUUCAGGACAUUGUUUAUCUGAAAAUUUUUAUGUUCGAGGAGAUGGUACCAGAGCAUAUUUCUUUACAAAAGGGGAAGUCCACAGUAUGUUCUGCAAAGCCAGUUUAGAUGAAAAGCAAAAUCUGGUUGAUCGCCGCUUACAAGUUAAUAGGAAAAAACAAGUGAAAAUGCACCGAGUGUGGAUUCAAGGCAAAUUCCAGAAACCAUUGCACCAGACUCAGAAUAGCUCCGAUAUGGUAUCUACACUCCUUUCACAAGACUGAACUUUGUAACAUGUUAAGGUACAAAGCCAGAGGACUGUGCUAUUCAAGGACUACUGUAAGUCUAUCGUUUC